UACAGAGGGUGCAAGCGUUGCUCGGAAUCAUUGGGCGUAAAGGGCAGGUAGGUGGUCCCAUUUGUCUGAGGUGAAAGCCUUCGGCUUAACCGAAGAAGUGCCUUAGAAACGGUGGGACUCGAGUGCUAGAGAGGGUUGUGGAAUUCCCGGUGUAGCGGUGAAAUGCGUAGAGAUCGGGAGGAACACCAGAGGCGAAGGCAGCUCGCUGGGACGUGACUGACGCUGAGACGCGAAAGCGUGGGGAGCAAACAGG
RNAcentral lists this ribosomal RNA (253 nucleotides) under uncultured bacterium. RNAcentral's name for it is "partial 16S ribosomal RNA". It matches the Rfam family "Bacterial small subunit ribosomal RNA", at positions 524 to 776 of the family's 1533-position model. The record is from RNAcentral.